CCUACGGGACGCUGCAGUGGGGAAUAUUGCGCAAUGGGCGAAAGCCUGACGCAGCGACGCCGCGUGAGGGAUGAAGUAUUUCGGUAUGUAAAGCUCUAUCAGCAGGGAAGAAAAUGACGGUACCUGACUAAGAAGCCCCGGCUAACUACGUGCCAGCAGCCGCGGUAAUACGUAGGGGGCAAGCGUUAUCCGGAUUUACUGGGUGUAAAGGGAGCGUAGACGGCGGUGCAAGCCAGAUGUGAAAGCCCGGGGCUCAACCCCGGGACUGCAUUUGGAACUGUGCUGCUAGAGUGUCGGAGAGGCAGGCGGAAUUCCUAGUGUAGCGGUGAAAUGCGUAGAUAUUAGGAGGAACACCAGUGGCGAAGGCGGCCUGCUGGACGAUGACUGACGUUGAGGCUCGAAAGCGUGGGGAGCAAACAGGAUUAGAUACCCUGGUAGUC
This 440-nucleotide ribosomal RNA is filed under the name uncultured bacterium. RNAcentral's name for it is "partial 16S ribosomal RNA". It matches the Rfam family "Bacterial small subunit ribosomal RNA", at positions 338 to 795 of the family's 1533-position model. The record is from RNAcentral.